RNAcentral lists this long non-coding RNA (709 nucleotides) under Daucus carota (carrot). Its description in RNAcentral is "long non-coding RNA (DCAR_LNC003915)". Lineage: Eukaryota; Viridiplantae; Streptophyta; Magnoliopsida; Apiales; Apiaceae. The record is from RNAcentral.
AGAGAUUUCAGGUGGGGAGACAAGGCUUCAGAGCUUAAGGUACUUGUGUUUAUAUCAGCUGGGAAGAUUUGUUAAUAAUUUAAAGGGUUACAAACUCACAAUGCAUGCAUUAUUGCUAAGGUUUAGGGCUGGCAAUUUCGGGUUUCGGGUCGGGUUCGGGUCGGGUUGACAGUCGCGGGUCAAAAAAUUUACCCAACCCGAACCCGACCCGAAAAUUUAAUGGGUCAGAAUACCCAACCCGAACCCGACCCGCACUACCCGCGGGUAACCCGAACCCGACCCGAAAAUUAAUAUUUAUUAAUAAAAAUAUUUUUUAAAUAAUAAAUAAAUAUUAUUUUAAUCCAAAUAAAUUAAUUUUUAUUAAAUUAAAUAAUUUUAUAUUAAAUUUAACUAAUAAAUUUUAUAAAAAUAAUAUAAAUAAUAUAAAUAUAUAUAAUAUUUAUAUUAUAUAUUAAUUUUCGGGUAAUUUCGGGUCAAUUUCGGGUAACCCGAAUUCAACCCGAAAAUGACCCGAUUUUUCUGGGUUGAUUUUGGGUCAACCCGAAUUCGACCCGAACCCGAAAACCCCCAACCCGAAUUCGUAUUUUGCACUACUCACAAUGCAUGCAUUAUUGCUAAGGCCUGGUCCAGAACAUACGAAUGAUACUAGUAUACGUUUUGCGAGAAAAAAGUGCUCGACGUGAAAAAUUCCAAGAUGAGACAAUUUUCU